Molecule: ribosomal RNA, 404 nt
Filed under: uncultured prokaryote
Also listed under: 1 other name
Description: bacterial SSU rRNA
Rfam family: Bacterial small subunit ribosomal RNA
Source: RNAcentral
UGGGGAAUAUUGGACAAUGGGCGAAAGCCUGAUCCAGCCAUGCCGCGUGAGUGACGAAGGUCUUCGGAUUGUAAAGCUCUUUUGGCGGGGACGAUAAUGACGGUACCCGCAGAAUAAGCCCCGGCUAACUUCGUGCCAGCAGCCGCGGUAAUACGAAGGGGGCUAGCGUUGUUCGGAAUCACUGGGCGUAAAGCGCACGUAGGCGGAUUUGUCAGUCAGGGGUGAAAUCCCGGGGCUCAACCUCGGAACUGCCUUUGAUACAGCAAGUCUAGAGUCCGGAAGAGGUGAGUGGAAUUCCUAGUGUAGAGGUGAAAUUCGUAGAUAUUAGGAAGAACACCAGUGGCGAAGGCGGCUCACUGGUCCGGCACUGACGCUGAGGUGCGAAAGCGUGGGGAGCAAACAGG